CCCUUAGAUGUCCUGGGCCGCACGCGCGCUACACUGAACGGAUCAGCGCGUUUUCCCUUCCCGAGAGGGACGGGUAACCUGCUGAACCCCGUUCGUGGUAGGGAUCGGGGCUUGCAAUUAUUCCCCGUGAACCAGGAAUGCCCAGUAAGUGCAAGUCAUAAGCUUGCGUUGAUUACGUCCCUGCCCUUUGUACACACCGCCCGUCGCUACUACCGAUUGAACGUUUUAGGGAGGUACUCGGACUGAGCCUCAGAAGAUUCACGUCUUUUGUGCUGCUCGGGAAGAUUCCCAAACUUGAGCGUUUAGAGGAAGUAAAAGUCGUAACA
RNAcentral lists this ribosomal RNA (326 nucleotides) under uncultured eukaryote. RNAcentral's name for it is "partial 18S ribosomal RNA". It matches the Rfam family "Eukaryotic small subunit ribosomal RNA", at positions 1470 to 1796 of the family's 1831-position model. The record is from RNAcentral.